RNAcentral lists this ribosomal RNA (465 nucleotides) under uncultured bacterium. Its description in RNAcentral is "partial 16S ribosomal RNA". It matches the Rfam family "Bacterial small subunit ribosomal RNA", at positions 338 to 795 of the family's 1533-position model. The record is from RNAcentral.
CCUACGGGAGACAGCAGUGGGGAAUUUUGGACAAUGGGCGCAAGCCUGAUCCAGCUAUUCCGCGUGUGGGAAGACGGCCUUCGGGUUGUAAACCACUUUUGUAGAGAACGAAAAGUCUGUUGAUAAUACCGAUAGAUGAUGACGGUACUCUAAGAAUAAGCACCGGCUAACUACGUGCCAGCAGCCGCUGUAAUACGUAGGGUGCGAGCGUUAAUCGGAAUUACUGGGCGUAAAGGGUGUGCAGGCGGGUUUGCAAGAUGGAUGUGAAAGCCCCGGGCUUAACCUGGGAAAGCCAUACAUGACUGCAAGACUAGAGUGCGUCAGAGGGGGGUGGAAUUCCAAGUGUAGCAGUGAAAUGCGUAGAUAUUUGGAAGAACACCGAUGGCGAAGGCAGCCCCCUGGGACGCAACUGACGCUCAUACACGAAAGCGUGGGGAGCAAACAGGAUUAGAUACCCGUGUAGUC